AGCUUUGCGCAGUGGCAGCAUCGUAGCCAAUGAGGUUUAUCCGAGGCGCGAUUAUUGCUAAUUGAAGAUUCCUUUAAACUAGGAAAAGUCAGCCACUAUUUCAAGUGGCCGUUUGAUGGGGUCCCGGGCUUAGCACUCAUCGGG
This 144-nucleotide small nuclear RNA is filed under the name Canis lupus familiaris (dog). RNAcentral's name for it is "U4 spliceosomal RNA (ENSCAFG00030023285.1, ENSCAFG00040018473.1, ENSCAFG00805030548.1, ENSCAFG00845027225.1)". The stretch from base 1 to 82 matches the Rfam family "U4 spliceosomal RNA". From Rfam's summary of the family: U4 small nuclear RNA (U4 snRNA) is a component of the major U2-dependent spliceosome. The structure of U4 snRNA from yeast and human has been reported. Lineage: Eukaryota; Metazoa; Chordata; Mammalia; Carnivora; Canidae. The record is from RNAcentral.